AACUAGUUUUUGACAGAAUAUAAAAACUGUUUUAAUAUAAAUAGUAUAAAUAGUGAAGAUUUUUAGAUCAACCAUCUAGUCGCACAUUUGUAAGAGAAGAUAGCAUAACAAUGAUUUUCAAGAUAUUCUUUGUCUGUAUAUUGAUGGCAAUAUUCUUAGUGUCUACGUCAGAAUCUGCCGCUAUGAAGAAACCUAGCGUUUCAGGAAACAUGACUGUAGAAUGCGUAAAAAUGGACAAAAACAUGGACCAAAAGCAAAUAGGAAUGCGUACACAGAGUGAAGGCAAUAAAGAUGCUUUUCCAGGCUCUAAACAUACUACAGAAAAUCCUUUUAUUGCACAUUAUCCUGCAAGGGUUUUAAAAUCAUGUUCUCGGUAAUUUUUGAUUUUAAUCACAUGUUUACAACGUUCAUUAUAACAAAGAUAUGUUAUCAAAGGAAUAAUUUAAAAAAAAAACUUAAGGCUACAUUGAUUUUAACAAUAAACUAAAUACUCUCAGGAAGUUUUGUUCUGAUUAAUCAAAUUUAUUAAUAAAAACUAAAUAAUAAAUGUAAAAUUCACUUAAGAUAUGACUUCAAACUGAUGAGUAGCGAAUAAGAGUUGUAGUUUUAGCAUAAAAACAGGAUAUUUUUUAUUAAUUAUAUUUGUUUAAGAUAUAUAAUAAAUAAAACCUAAAAAUACAUAUGUCACUUCUAAAUAUUUAAUAUUUGAAUAUGUGCCCUAAUCCGGAUCCUAAUCCAAAACGCCGAUCAGUUUGUUUGCAUAUUUU
Molecule: long non-coding RNA, 767 nt
Organism: Musca domestica (house fly)
Lineage: Eukaryota; Metazoa; Arthropoda; Insecta; Diptera; Muscidae
Exons: 3
Source: RefSeq, a predicted model, not a curated record